CGGGUGAGUAACGCGUGGGUAACCUGCCUCAUACAGGGGGAUAACAGUUAGAAAUGACUGCUAAUACCGCAUAAGCGCACAGAGCUGCAUGGCUCGGUGUGAAAAACUCCGGUGGUAUAAGAUGGACCCGCGUUGGAUUAGCUAGUUGGUGAGGUAACGGCCCACCAAGGCGACGAUCCAUAGCCGGCCUGAGAGGGUGAACGGCCACAUUGGGACUGAGACACGGCCCAG
This 231-nucleotide ribosomal RNA is filed under the name uncultured bacterium. RNAcentral describes it as "partial 16S ribosomal RNA". It matches the Rfam family "Bacterial small subunit ribosomal RNA", at positions 103 to 334 of the family's 1533-position model. The record is from RNAcentral.